This is a long non-coding RNA of Neogale vison (American mink), 2285 nucleotides long. RefSeq lists it as uncharacterized. The record is from RefSeq and is a predicted model, not a curated record. NCBI's taxonomy places the organism in Eukaryota, Metazoa, Chordata, Mammalia, Carnivora, Mustelidae. The transcript is spliced from 3 exons.
GGGACAGCCUGCGCGGGCACAAGGUCACAGUUAGAGUGGCUCCUGUCCCUUCAGCCUCUCCACCCACGCCCCUUCCGCGCGCUCACCCUGAGGCACCUCCUCCAUUCGGCUGCCUUCGAAGUCUACGCGGUCACCGGAAUACGCUUUACGUAUUUCCGUCUCCCCGCGCCCAAUCUGACUCUCCAGCCGCGCGAAGUCACACCGCUGCUAGCGAGGGAGCCAGAGGGAUGAACCUGGGCCGUGGGGCUUGUGAGCCUGCUGGGUCACCCGUAAGACACAGUGACAGGUGCUUCCGUACGAACCGCUGGUGCCACCAAACGGCCAUGAUGCCAUUCGUCCUGGCACCCAGCCUGUCCGCCACAGUGGAUAACGAAGCAGCCCCCAGGUUCGAGGUGGCAACAGACAGCUGACGCUACAUGACAUCAUCACCGCAUCAUGACCUUCAUCCAGACCCCGGUUCUCCUGGGCCUGCAGUGGUUUCUGGGUAGCCCCACUAGGCUAUGUGGCCACGACAAGCCUCCCCCAGCCUGCAGAGGCUCGAGGCAGCAGAGAUCAUUCUUGGCUCCGGCUACCGAACAGGUUCACGGGCAGACACCUGCUUGUUGUUCCUCGGGGACACACACGACAGAGGCCCUACAGUCUCACGUUGCCAUGGUCUGAGCACAUGCUUCAAAGCUGGAGCGCAUGACUUGUACAAUGCUUCUUCAACACAUUCCCCCCCAGAAACAACCCCUAUGCGCACACCUUCUAUCCAGAGAAUCGGUCACACCCAAAAGAGCAUAGGGGGUGCAGUCCCUGGAAGGAGCAGAGACCAGGGAGUGGCCGGUACUGGACUCCUCUGCUACAUGUCAUACGGUCCUUUCCCCUCACAAUUCAGAUGGGUCACUCUGCUACACAUGCACCUUCCCUGGCUCCCUAUGGCCCAAGCUAGCACCAAUCUUGAUAUGGUUUUCAGUCCAGUUCAACCCCGUGACUCAGGUUACCCCUGCCACCCCAUAUUUGCUCUGUGCCACUGUGCACGCUGAGCUUGAUCUAAAACCAAAUAGCAGGCUUUUCCUUGGUACCCCAGCCAUUGCUCUGCGGCUCACACCAGUCCUUCCCCACAACUCUGGGCCUCUCUGGCCCUCCUCUGGGACAGGUCACCUCUCCGCAUCAUCCCACGGGAAGCCGGUUCAGGCCCAUGGAAUCCACGGCCUUCCCCUUUUCCUGAACACGGCAUGUUCCAGAAGUCUGAGCCCAGUUUUCCGUUUUAGGAACCCAGAAAGUGUGAAUGCUGCAAACCUAACCAGAAUCAGCAUCUGAAAGUCUAUUUCUGUUUACAUCUCCUUUACAUUUAUUUAGUUUAGGGAGUUUGAUAGAUUUUAAAUUUAAAGUUUUUAUUUCGGUCCCCCUGACUGAAGGUGGCAAGGAGGACCGAAACAACAAAGCCAGAGCUAGAAGUUGUCAUUUCAAAUGUGGAAAAACUCAGUACGUGCCAAAAGACUUAAUUAGCUACGUUUUUAAAAGCUUUUAAAAAUAAGUUUGUCAAAGUAGAGGCCCAGCAGAAAGCUCGGUGGCUGCCAGGGGUUGGGUUAGGGAGGGAGGAGUAGGCGGAGAGCCCGGGAUUUUUAGGGCAGGGCAGCUCUCCCGCGUCAGGUGUAAUGGUGAGUACUUGACAUUGUGCACGUAUCCGUCUCCCAGACCCUGCACCAGCAAGAAGGGACUUGAACUCACCCUGUGGACUUUAGUUAAUAAUAAGGAUUCACUAUUAUGGUUCACCCAUUGUAACGAAUGACUCCACCAACGCCAGAUGUUAGUAAUGGGGGAAAUUGCCGGGGGGCGGGGGAGGUAGAGAGGGAAUAUUCUGGAAAUCUCAUUUCUCCAUAUGCCUAAAACUGCUCCGAAAACAAAACUUUUUUUUUUUUCUUUCUAAGUUUGGUUAUACCGUCGAUGUGAUGAGAGUUUCAAUGUGCAUAAAGGGUGCUGAGACACUUGUGCACAUAUCCCCUGUAGCUUACUUUCUCAACGUGGGUACAUAGUAUGAUCCCCUGGGGGUCUUAGGAUAGGCACCUGCUCAGGCAGGGAGCCUUGGCAUGUGCCCAAAGGGGUUCUGAACCCGGUUUCCAGUGUGGGGUUUCUCCAAACCAAACAGCAAACAGCGCCCGGGUCCUACAGUUCAGCCGGGUUCCUUGAUUCUGAUGCUCUUCACUGGAGAUGGCAUUCGAAUCCACAGAUUAGGGGCUCAGUUUUACAGGACUGGACAGCACCCCCCCCCCCCGCGCGCGACUUCAUGUGUCAGUUGCAAU